Molecule: ribosomal RNA, 86 nt
Filed under: Pseudomonas syringae pv. syringae
Lineage: Bacteria; Pseudomonadati; Pseudomonadota; Gammaproteobacteria; Pseudomonadales; Pseudomonadaceae
Also listed under: 1 other name
Description: partial 16S ribosomal RNA
Rfam family: Bacterial small subunit ribosomal RNA (bases 1-77)
Source: RNAcentral
CCACGGUGUGAUUCAUGACUGGGGUGAAGUCGUAACAAGGUAGCCGUAGGGGAACCUGCGGCUGGAUCACCUCCUUAAUCGACGAC